UCCGACCUCAGAUCGGACGAGAUUACCCGCUGAAUUUAAGCAUAUAACUAAGCGGAGGAAAAGAAACUAACA
RNAcentral lists this ribosomal RNA (72 nucleotides) under Albinaria supercarinata. Its description in RNAcentral is "partial 28S ribosomal RNA". It matches the Rfam family "Eukaryotic large subunit ribosomal RNA", at positions 1 to 70 of the family's 3401-position model. The record is from RNAcentral. Lineage: Eukaryota; Metazoa; Mollusca; Gastropoda; Stylommatophora; Clausiliidae.